Potamilus streckersoni is the source of this 77-nucleotide non-coding RNA. The record is from the annotation of a GenBank genome assembly. NCBI's taxonomy places the organism in Eukaryota, Metazoa, Mollusca, Bivalvia, Unionida, Unionidae.
GACCGCUCCGGUGGCCUAAUGGUUAGACCAUCUGCCUAGGAUGCAGGCGGUUGCAGGUUCAAACCCAGGGCGAGUCA